UACGAAGGGGGCUAGCGUUGCUCGGAAUCACUGGGCGUAAAGCGCACGUAGGCGGAUUGCUAAGUCAGGGGUGAAAUCCUGGAGCUCAACUCCAGAACUGCCUUUGAUACUGGCGAUCUCGAGUCCGGGAGAGGUGAGUGGAACUGCGAGUGUAGAGGUGAAAUUCGUAGAUAUUCGGAAGAACACCAGUGGCGAAGGCGGCUCACUGGCCCGGUACUGACGCUGAGGCACGAAGGCCAGGGGAGCAAACGGG
RNAcentral lists this ribosomal RNA (253 nucleotides) under uncultured bacterium. RNAcentral's name for it is "partial 16S ribosomal RNA". It matches the Rfam family "Bacterial small subunit ribosomal RNA", at positions 524 to 776 of the family's 1533-position model. The record is from RNAcentral.